This 23-nucleotide non-coding RNA is filed under the name Cricetulus griseus (Chinese hamster). The record is from RNAcentral. Lineage: Eukaryota; Metazoa; Chordata; Mammalia; Rodentia; Cricetidae.
AUUCUGUGAGUGCUUUAGAGAGG